This 492-nucleotide ribosomal RNA is filed under the name uncultured bacterium. Its description in RNAcentral is "partial 16S ribosomal RNA". It matches the Rfam family "Bacterial small subunit ribosomal RNA", at positions 29 to 507 of the family's 1533-position model. The record is from RNAcentral.
AGUGAACGCUGGCGGUAGGCCUAACACAUGCAAGUCGAACGGCAGCACAGUAAGAGCUUGCUCUUACGGGUGGCGAGUGGCGGACGGGUGAGGAAUACAUCGGAAUCUACUUUUUCGUGGGGGAUAACGUAGGGAAACUUACGCUAAUACCGCAUACGACCUUCGGGUGAAAGCAGGGGAUCUUCGGACCUUGCGCGAUUGAAUGAGCCGAUGUCGGAUUAGCUAGUUGGCGGGGUAAAGGCCCACCAAGGCGACGAUCCGUAGCUGGUCUGAGAGGAUGAUCAGCCACACUGGAACUGAGACACGGUCCAGACUCCUACGGGAGGCAGCAGUGGGGAAUAUUGGACAAUGGGCGCAAGCCUGAUCCAGCCAUACCGCGUGUGUGAAGAAGGCCUUCGGGUUGUAAAGCCCUUUUGUUGGGAAAGAAAAGCAGCAGGUUAAUACCCCGCUGUUCUGACGGUACCCAAAGAAUAAGCACCGGCUAACUUCGUG